RNAcentral lists this ribosomal RNA (321 nucleotides) under Francisella tularensis. RNAcentral describes it as "bacterial SSU rRNA". It matches the Rfam family "Bacterial small subunit ribosomal RNA", at positions 1 to 328 of the family's 1533-position model. The record is from RNAcentral. Lineage: Bacteria; Pseudomonadati; Pseudomonadota; Gammaproteobacteria; Thiotrichales; Francisellaceae.
UUAAACUGAAGAGUUUGAUCCUGGCUCAGAUUGAACGCUGGUGGCAUGCUUAACACAUGCAAGUCGAACGGUAACAGGUCUUAGGAUGCUGACGAGUGGCGGACGGGUGAGUAACGCGUAGGAAUCUGCCCAUUUGAGGGGGAUACCAGUUGGAAACGACUGUUAAUACCGCAUAAUAUCUGUGGAUUAAAGGUGGCUUUCGGGCUGUCGCAGAUGGAUGAGCCUGCGUUGGAUUAGCUAGUUGGUGGGGUAAGGGCCCACCAAGGCUACGAUCCAUAGCUGAUUUGAGAGGAUGAUCAGCCACAUUGGGACUGAGACACG